This 490-nucleotide ribosomal RNA is filed under the name uncultured bacterium. Its description in RNAcentral is "partial 16S ribosomal RNA". It matches the Rfam family "Bacterial small subunit ribosomal RNA", at positions 30 to 507 of the family's 1533-position model. The record is from RNAcentral.
AUUGAACGCUGGCGGCAGGCCUAACACAUGCAAGUCGAACGGUAACAGGAAGAAGCUUGCUUCUUUGCUGACGAGUGGCGGACGGGUGAGUAAUGUCUGGGAAACUGCCUGAUGGAGGGGGAUAACUACUGGAAACGGUAGCUAAUACCGCAUAACGUCGCAAGACCAAAAAGGGGGACCUUCGGGCCUCUUGCCAUCGGAUGUGCCCAGAUGGGAUUAGCUAGUAGGUGGGGUAACGGCUCACCUAGGCGACGAUCCCUAGCUGGUCUGAGAGGAUGACCAGCCACACUGGAACUGAGACACGGUCCAGACUCCUACGGGAGGCAGCAGUGGGGAAUAUUGCACAAUGAGCGCAAGCCUGAUGCAGCCAUGCCGCGUGUAUGAAGAAGGCCUUCGGGUUGUAAAGUACUUUCAGCGGGGAGGAAGGGAGUAAAGUUAAUACCUUUGCUCAUUGACGUUACCCGCAGAAGAAGCACCGGCUAACUCCGUG